GAUGAACGCUGGCGGCAUGCCUAACACAUGCAAGUCGGACGGGAAGUGGUUUUUCCCGUGCCCGACGGGUGAGCAACGCGCGAGAACGUGCCGUUGGGAGGGGAAUCACAUCUGGAAACGGCUGCAACUACCCCGAAGUCUGAGGAGCACAAGGAGGAAUCCGCCAGAGGAGGGGCUUGCGUAUGAUUAGCUAGGUGGUGAGGCAAUAGCUUACCAAGGCGAUGAUCAGUAGCUGGUCCGAGAGGAUGAUCAGCCACACUGGGACUGAGCCACGGCCCAGGCACCUUCGGGAGGCGGCAGUAGGCAGUUUUCCGCAAUGGGCGAUAGCCUAACAGGGCAAUGCCGCGUGAAAGUAGAUGGCCCGCGAGUCAUGAACUGCUUUUUCCGAAGAAGAUGCAAUGACGGUAUCUGGAGAAUAAGCAUCGGCUAACUCCGUG
RNAcentral lists this ribosomal RNA (437 nucleotides) under uncultured bacterium. Its description in RNAcentral is "partial 16S ribosomal RNA". It matches the Rfam family "Bacterial small subunit ribosomal RNA", at positions 28 to 507 of the family's 1533-position model. The record is from RNAcentral.